RNAcentral lists this ribosomal RNA (503 nucleotides) under uncultured bacterium. Its description in RNAcentral is "partial 16S ribosomal RNA". It matches the Rfam family "Bacterial small subunit ribosomal RNA", at positions 899 to 1397 of the family's 1533-position model. The record is from RNAcentral.
ACUCAAAUGAAUUGACGGGGGCCCGCACAAGCGGUGGAGCAUGUGGUUCAAUUCGAUGCAGAGCGAAGAACCUUACCUGGGCUUGACAUGUAGGAAGUAGGACCCCGAAAGGGGGACGACCUGUUGAGUCAGGAACCUGUACAGGUGGUGCAUGGCUGUCGUCAGCUCGUGCCGUGAGGUGUUGGGUUAAGUCCCGCAACGAGCGCAACCCUCACCCUAUGUUGCCAUCGGUUCGGCCGGGCACUCUUAGGGAACUGCCGGCGAAGAGCUGGAGGAAGGGGGGGAUGACGUCAAGUCCGUAUGCCCCUUAUGCCCAGGGCUACACACAUGCUACAAUGCGCGGUACAGAGGGUUGCCAACUCGUGAGAGGGAGCCAAUCCCAGAAAGCCGCGCUCAGUUCGGAUUGCAGGCUGCAACUCGCCUGCAUGAAGUCGGAAUCGCUAGUAAGCGCAGAUCAGCAGGCUGCGCUGAAUACGUUCCCGGGCCUUGCACACACCGCCCGU